This is a non-coding RNA of Pelobates cultripes (western spadefoot toad), 534 nucleotides long. The record is from the annotation of a GenBank genome assembly. Lineage: Eukaryota; Metazoa; Chordata; Amphibia; Anura; Pelobatidae.
AUUUUAUGUUAUAUAAAAUACAAACAAUGUUUUUUGAUUUCUCUGUAUUCUUCAGAUGAGGAUUCCUGGUGAAGAUCUCUGGCUAUGCCCUGUGAACUUCAGAGCUCACUGGAUUUUAGUGGUAUUUACUAUAGGACUACGUUAAUUAACCUUUCUUUAGUUGUGUUAUCAUGUGCUUUUUAUAAUUUAUGUAAUUAUGUUACAUAUGCAGAUAUUUAACUACAUCCCAAUGACCCCGCAGAACACACCUGCUGUAUACACCAAUAAUAUGAAUGUCAUAAAGAAAAUUUUGUGUUUUCCCGAAUUCUUUUAGAUUGUCAUCAUGUCGAAGGUUAUUGUGCUAAUUGACCCACUGGGAAAUGAACAUAAUUAUCUAUUGAAAGUACAGCACAACUGGAGGUGAGUGUCUUGGGAAUUUUUUUUUUUUUUUUUUUUACUUAAACUGAUGUGCACAACUUUCAAUUAAAACUUAUGUGUAAUUUCUUUUUAUUUUUUCAUAGUAUGUUCUUGAAGUAUAUUACUGAAGAAGUAGCC